Molecule: unclassified non-coding RNA, 783 nt
Filed under: Hevea brasiliensis (rubber tree)
Lineage: Eukaryota; Viridiplantae; Streptophyta; Magnoliopsida; Malpighiales; Euphorbiaceae
Source: RNAcentral
UUGUUUGUCUCAUCCCCAUGUUAGAGGGCUGGCCCAAAAACAUAUUAGGAGGACCAUCAGUUUUCCUGCUUUGAGAAGGAAUAUCAAUUGAUGUUUGCAUGCAAGAGAGAACAGAUGAGCUGCUGUUACUGAAUGCAUUGGGUCUAUCAGCAUGUACAGGUUCGUGCAUGCCAUUAGGCUUUGCAGCAGUUCCAACAUUUUCGGCAGCACCGCAAGUUGAAUUUUGAUGCAUUGGCAUAAUAUUACACCCAUUAGACAUAGGUAGAGAAGCAAUUGCACUUGGAACUUGCUGCGUCAUCUUCACCUGUUCCGAAAGCAACCUGUUGAAUUCUAUUAUUUGCUCUUUCACCAUCAGCUUCAGGUAAUAUGCUUGGAAAAAUUCCUGAUUUUCUUCUUCUAGUUUCUGCCAAACGAGUUCAGUAAAUGUAGGCUCUAUGCUGUCCUGGAUGAAGAGAGUGUUCACGACUUCUUUCCGACUCAUGUAUUGCCGAAGACAGUGCUCAAUCCGAUUUUGCACCAUUUGUAUUUCUUCACAGGAGACUUUAGGUCCAUCUCCGCUCGACAUUUUUGAGGCCCCAACUUUAAACUAUUGCAAUAAAGCUCUGUACCACUUUUUCAGUAGAAGUGUACACCCUAGCUUCCGUGCACCAUCAAUGAGAGUAAUUCAGAAAGGUAGUCACUUAAACCUAUAAUCCAGCUAAUUGAGUAAAUUUUAACAAAUUUUCUUCCUUUCUGAUGCAAUUCAAAGUGUUUUUAAGUGAAUUGAAAGAAGCAGAAGAAGAG